GGGAAGGACUGUGCGAAACAACCCAGCAGCUUCUGCUCCACAGCUGGCCCCAGGCUGACCACAGAGCCCAGCAGUGCCUGUCACUGCAGGGCAAAAAGGCAUUGAAAUAAUGUGGAUAAGGAGGUGGAGCUGAGAAAGAGCUGGGCAGGUUCUGGUGCUCCUGGGGGCAUUGGACAUGGACACUCUCUCCCAAAAGCAAAGGAGAGAAACUGCUGGUGAAAAUCUGGGAUUUCCUCCUUCUUUCCUAAUGCCCAUCUGCAGCUUGAAUGAAAGCCAGCACUGCCUAUGCUCACCUGCUCACCUGCACAUCUCCCUUGCCAAGGGCAUCACCACAGGCUCUCAUUCCUGCUGGGACUUCCAGUGGGUCCCACAAACAUAUUUUACACCUUUGGAUCCUCACAGUGUUGCCUGUGAGUGCUGGUGGCAGGAAUUCAGCCUUUGGGUUGCACAGCCUUCACUGCAGAACUGGACAGAGUAGUGCUGGAAACAUUUCUUCUCAAACUUCUUCCUGGGAUCCCCUGCUCUGCCUGUCCCACUCUGAAAGAAUAAUCUGAGGGAUUAUUCACUCUCAUGAUCUGCUCCCCCUCCUGC
Molecule: long non-coding RNA, 591 nt
Organism: Zonotrichia leucophrys gambelii
Lineage: Eukaryota; Metazoa; Chordata; Aves; Passeriformes; Passerellidae
Exons: 3
Source: RefSeq, a predicted model, not a curated record